UACGUAGGGUGCGAGCGUUAAUCGGAAUUACUGGGCGUAAAGCGUGCGCAGGCGGUUUUGUAAGACAGCUGUGAAAUCCCCGGGCUCAACCUGGGAACUGCGGUUGUGACUGCAAGACUGGAGUGUGGCAGAGGGGGGUGGAAUUCCACGUGUAGCAGUGAAAUGCGUAGAGAUGUGGAGGAACACCGAUGGCGAAGGCAGCCCCCUGGGCUAACACUGACGCUCAUGCACGAAAGCGUGGGGAGCAAACAGG
RNAcentral lists this ribosomal RNA (253 nucleotides) under uncultured bacterium. RNAcentral's name for it is "partial 16S ribosomal RNA". It matches the Rfam family "Bacterial small subunit ribosomal RNA", at positions 524 to 776 of the family's 1533-position model. The record is from RNAcentral.